GCCAGCUGUAAUCACUAAUGAGAGCACCAUAGAGAUGACGUCAAAUGGGUUCGGAUCUAUACGUUCUAAGAGGCAGGCUCUUACGCAUACUUCACCAGACACGAAGAGACUUGGACAUGCACGAUAAAUUAUGAAAGUCAGUGGAUGGAUCUUAACCCCGAAUCUGUAUCGCCCAAGAGGGAGACCGACGACCUGCUCCUGCAGAAUGCACCAAAAUGCGUGGCCUCACUCGUUCAUCUUGCCGACUGACCGCCAGGCCAGCAUACAGUUCCUCGCGACUCU
Molecule: long non-coding RNA, 282 nt
Filed under: Drosophila guanche
Lineage: Eukaryota; Metazoa; Arthropoda; Insecta; Diptera; Drosophilidae
Source: RNAcentral